AUACGGAGGGUGCAAGCGUUACUCGGAAUCACUGGGCGUAAAGGGCGCGCAGGCGGUUUGGUAAGUCAGAUGUGAAAGCCCACGGCUCAACCGUGGAAGUGCAUUUGAAACUGCCAGACUUGAGUACCAGAGGGGAAAGUGGAAUUCCCGGUGUAGAGGUGAAAUUCGUAGAUAUCGGGAGGAAUACCGGUGGCGAAGGCGACUUUCUGGCUGGAUACUGACGCUGAGGCGCGAAAGCGUGGGGAGCAAACAGGAUUAGAAACCCUAGUAGUCC
Molecule: ribosomal RNA, 274 nt
Filed under: uncultured bacterium
Lineage: Bacteria
Description: partial 16S ribosomal RNA
Rfam family: Bacterial small subunit ribosomal RNA
Source: RNAcentral